Molecule: unclassified non-coding RNA, 1987 nt
Filed under: Monomorium pharaonis (pharaoh ant)
Lineage: Eukaryota; Metazoa; Arthropoda; Insecta; Hymenoptera; Formicidae
Description: uncharacterized LOC118644870, transcript variant X2
Source: RNAcentral
CAGUGCAACAGUGCAGCUAGAAAGAACAGACCAAGUAUUUGGUGCGACUCGAAAAGCAUAUCCAAUAGAUUUCAUGCUAUCUCCACUUGCUAAAUACCUUAAGAAUAUUUGCAGUGUCUUGUGUAUGAAGCAAUUGGUUCUCUAAUAUUUAAUUGUUUUUCAAUUCCGGGACCUACUAUUAAUAGUAGAUCUUCAAAGAUGCUAACAUCCAUUCUUAAAUAAUUAAAAUAUAGAGAAGGAUCUGUCAUUCGUAACAUAUUAACUAAAUUGUCACUAUCUCCUUGAGAGAAACGCUGCUCAAUUGAAUAAAUAGGCCUGACCCACAUCCUUCUUUUGGAUUUCUGCUUUGACAAUUUUGUAUAUAAUAGCCAUAAUUUUACUAAAGCAAAUCUGAUUUUUUCCUUUUGAUACUGGAGCAUUGGAGUUCUUCUCAUGCGCUCAUGCGAUGCGUUGUCGUCUCAUGCGGUCUAUGCGUGAAACUAAACGUACCCCAAUUGACCCAAAAUGCAUGAAUCCAAAAUGGCCGCACCCAAUGCAUCGUGUCCCUGAGCGUUCCUAUGCGAUAGCCUGCGUUAUUGAGCAAAACUACGAACAACGUUAAAAACAUAUUGUAAGAUCUGUAAGUGAUUUUAUAAAAAAUAAGGCUGUGUUAUUGUAUCCCAGACAGUACAGGAUAUCUUAUGGAUAUCCGUUUUAUGUCCAUUUCUUGUCCUGAUGUCCAUGGACCUUAUAAGGAUAUCCAUAGGAUAUACAUUUGUGGACAUUGAAGGGAUAUCCUAAAAUGGACCACUUUGUAUGUCCAUAUGCUAUCCUUAUUUGUACUCGCUCCGCCAACACCAUCUGCAUGCACAAGUGAACUAAAAAGCAAUAUGAUCGUAGUAGUGGUUAGGUUUUUGUUGGUUAUCGGCAUGUUUUACACAGUCAGUUGUCGAGUUACAAUCAUUUGUUGCCUAGACGAGAUCACUCGCAUGCUGCAGUCAUUGUCUGCAAUAUAAAGAAUAUUUGUUCCACUGUAAUCGUUAAACAAUGGAUACACACUAUAUAUAUAUAUGUGUGAUAAUUACAAAAUACUUUAAGCUGAUUGUUUAAUUAAUAUUAUACGUAUGGUAUAAUAUUAAUUAAACAAUCAGCUUAAAGUAUUUUGUAAUUAUCACACACACAUAUAUAUAUAGUGUGUAUCCGUUGUUUAACGAUUACAGUGGAACAAAUAUUCUUAUUUAAUUAAAAUUGUUUAAUGUAUAAUUUAUUGAAAGAAUAAUAUAAUUUCUAAAAUAAAUAUUUAUAUUUAUAUAUUUUAUUCUGUUUUUACUCUUUUAUUUAAUGUAAAAUUUAAUUUUAAAUGCCGCUUUUUAUCACGUCCAUAGGACGUCCAUAGAACGUCCAAAGGACGUAAAACGGAUGUCCUGUGGAUAUCCUCAAUAUCCGUUAAGGACGUCAUGGAUGUCGUAUGGAUAUCCGUGUGCUGUCUGGGAUAAGAUGUAUGUAGUAAAAGAGGUUAAGUGUCUAUAUAUUCAGAGUGUUUCUGUGCGCGAUAACCUUGUAAGCAAAGCUGCAAACCACAUAAAAAACACUAUAAGAUUUGUAAGUAUACAUUUUUAUAAAAUAUAUGACUGUGUUAUUGCAGUAAGUUUCGGAACGUAGCCCAUGUUACGCAAUUAAUUCAGCGUUUCAAUUUCGCGCUUGCAUUCUGGAUCAUCUUUUUAUUGGCUCACUAAUACGUGACGUAUACUGACGUCACGGCAUCAUGCGCAAUGGUUCACCUGGUAUCCUUACACCGAUUGUAAUUACUAAACUCAAACUUCAUAUCCAAGAAUCCAAGUCAUCUUUUUCUUAGUAACAAUGGUUAUUUCAAUUCAGUUUUUCCUUUUCACAUUCUAGUCUUGCUUGGUAUUGAAUUUUACUUAUAAAAAAAUAUAAAAUAAUAUAAAAGUUAAUAUUAGUUGCUCUUGGUUUCCUUUUAAGUUAUUAAAUAAUACUCAAACGCCAA